RNAcentral lists this ribosomal RNA (253 nucleotides) under uncultured bacterium. RNAcentral describes it as "partial 16S ribosomal RNA". It matches the Rfam family "Bacterial small subunit ribosomal RNA", at positions 524 to 776 of the family's 1533-position model. The record is from RNAcentral.
UACAGAGGUCCCGAGCGUUGUUCGGAUUCACUGGGCGUAAAGGGUGCGUAGGCGGUUCUGAAAGUCUGAUGUGAAAUCUCCGGGCCCAACCCGGAAAUGGCAUUAGAAACUGCAGGGCUAGAGGCUUGGAGGGGGAACUGGAAUGCUCGGUGUAGCAGUGAAAUGCGUAGAGAUCGAGCGGAACACCAGUGGCGAAGGCGAGUUCCUGGACAAGACCUGACGCUGAGGCACGAAAGCCAGGGGAGCAAACAGG